Long non-coding RNA from Saccostrea cuccullata (small rock oyster), 576 nucleotides. RefSeq lists it as uncharacterized. NCBI's taxonomy places the organism in Eukaryota, Metazoa, Mollusca, Bivalvia, Ostreida, Ostreidae. The record is from RefSeq and is a predicted model, not a curated record. The transcript is spliced from 3 exons.
CAGUCUAUUGAACAGCAUGGAUUUUCAUGAUAAUUUUACGAUGGAGAACACGUCAAUUCAUCAGAUAUGACGGGUCUUUUCUUUGGCAUUAGAUGUGACACGUGUAGUGCGCUGGUACCAUUUAGGCUUCAGAACUUUCAUCUAUGAAGACCCACUUGCUAAUGGCCACCAUGCACAGAAAAGACCAUGAUGUGGAGGACAUAUGUGCUUAGUUAUUAAAGUCGGGACAGAAUACAUUUAGAAACUGAUCAUGCCUUGGUCAAAUCAAAGGAGUUCCCUCAGUCUUUCAGAGAGAUGGCAGAGAGUUCAUUCAACAUGAAGAUGAUGUGCACAUAAUGUAAUCUGGAAUCUAAAGUUAGAGAUAAAAACCUGCAAACACUAGCAAAUAAGCCUAUCUGCUUGUUAAUUAUUCUUUGCCGGACACUUCACUUUUAGGAAUAAUCUUUAUUUCUAUCAAUGAUGCAAGUGGUUAUUCAAGAUCAUGUCAUGUGAAAUAAGGAAUUCUGACUUUUGACAGCAUAAGACAAGGGCUUGUGAGAAGAGUAGCAAAUACUAAAGAAAUCCUUGGAUACUGAA